Molecule: long non-coding RNA, 1852 nt
Filed under: Marmota monax (woodchuck)
Lineage: Eukaryota; Metazoa; Chordata; Mammalia; Rodentia; Sciuridae
Source: RNAcentral
GGCCAGGGCUCGUGGCCCUUUCCCCUGUCCCUGCAAUUGGCAAUCUGUUCAGGCCAGCUGCACCGUCCACACAGGAAAACUCCACGAGGUACUGUCCAGCAUCUUCAGGACACUGCUGGGUGCAGUCACCACGUGGCCAGUCUUCAUGGGCAGAUUUGUCUUUGGAGAAUAUGUCUUCUGGGUCUUGGGGCUGGGAUCUAAAUGUGCUGUCUUUUUUGGGGUGGGGGAGUUGACAAUCAGCAAUUAUUAACACUGUCAUGACCUGCAAAUAAGAUUUCUUGCAAAGGAACAAUUAAAUACUGCUUAGCAGUUAUUUAGACUUUACAUAGACCAAGGAAAGGCUAAGAUGGGGGAAAAAAAAAAAACUCCCUUCAGCUUAUCUGUAGUAGCUUUGUUUCUUGAAAAAAUAUUUUUGAGGAGAAUAAACUUAACCAAAGAGAUGGAAGACAAGGACACAAAAUGUUGAAGCUAUAUUAAAUCUGUAAAAUUUGUUGAAAGAAGUUAAAAAAAGACACAAACAGAAAGACAUUCCAUGUUCAUGGAUUGGAAGAUUAAAAAUAAGAUCUCAAUAUCACCCACAGUGAUCUGUAGAUUCAGUGCGAUCUCUGUUGAAACACCAACACAUUUUUGCAGAAAAAAAAUUAUACUAAAAUUUAUAUAAAUCUCAAGGGACCCUAGUUGGUCUACCUGUCUAUUUUGGUGCCAAUACCAUGCUGGUUUUGUUACUAUUGCUCUGUAGUAUAGUUUGGAUGUCUCAAACUUUCUGAUUUUAGAAGAUCACACAAAGCUACAGUAGUUAAAGCAGUGGAGAACUGGCAUGAAGCUAGACGUAUAAAACAGGGGAAGGGAACAGAGAGCCCAGAAGUAAGCCCUUGUGCACGUGGUCCAGUGAUGUAGGCUCGGUGUCAAGACCGCAGCACGGGGAAAGCAUGGUGUCUUCUAUGCAUGGUGCCGGGACGGGCACACUCACAGGCCAAGGAGUGAAAUCGCACCCUUCCCUCACCUGUGAAUAAAAAUGAACUCAAAAUUGAUUUAAAAGACUUUCCCUGAAACAGGGAAAUCUCCCAUGACCUUGGAUUUGGCAAUGAUUUCUUGAACUUGACACCAAAAGUGAAAAACAAAGGGAUUACAUUAAACUUCAAGACUGUGCACCAAAGGACAUAAUUUACAGAGUGAGAAGACAACCUACAGAUUGAGAGAAAUGCUUGUUAAUAGCCACAAAGAACUCCUACCACUUAACAGCAACAAGAAGGUAACUUAAGAAGUGCAAGGAUUUGAACACUCAUUUCUCCAAACAUGAUAUACAAGUGGCCCAACAAGAAUCCAGAAAGAUGCUCACUAUCACCAAUCUUUAGAGAAAUGAGAAGCAAAACCGUGAGAUAUCACCUCAUGUCCACCAACAUUUAUAAAAUAAACAAAAAAUAAAACAGGUGUUGGCAAGGAUACUGAGGACUGGCAAUGCCACGGGCUGCUGGUAGGUAUGUAAAGUGGCAUGGCCGUGGGUGAACCUUGUAUCUGUCCCGUAAAACAUUAAAACUAGAAUCCCCAGAGAUCCAGCUAGGCCACUGCUUGGUCUGUGUCCAGAGGUACUGAGAGCAGCUUCUCAAGACAGGCAACCUCACCCCCACGCUCACACCCCACUGCGCACUCAAGGCAUGAGAGCCAAUGGGGCAAGCAACCAAGUGUCUAUUGAUGGAUGAAGGAACAAACAACGUGGCAUUUAUGUACAAUGGAAUCUCUCUCAGCCUUGAAAAGAAGGAAGUCCUGUGACAUGCUGUGACUUGGGAGAUCCUGGAAGACAUCAUGCUAAAUGAAACACUCCAGUCAUAAAAGGCACUCUGCACAAUUCUAC